ACAAAAAAGAGUGAACCGGCAGCCGCAUCCCGCGCGCGGCCGGUGAAU
This 48-nucleotide non-coding RNA is filed under the name Salmonella enterica subsp. enterica serovar Heidelberg str. B182. RNAcentral describes it as "DnaX". It matches the Rfam family "DnaX ribosomal frameshifting element", at positions 18 to 65 of the family's 65-position model. Rfam says of the family: This family represents a ribosomal frameshifting element found in the mRNA of the dnaX gene in E. coli. The dnaX gene has two encoded products tau and gamma which are produced in a 1:1 ratio. The gamma protein is synthesised due to programmed frameshifting and is shorter than tau. The record is from RNAcentral. Lineage: Bacteria; Pseudomonadati; Pseudomonadota; Gammaproteobacteria; Enterobacterales; Enterobacteriaceae.